UGGGGAAUAUUGCACAAUGGGCGCAAGCCUGAUGCAGCAACGCCGCGUGAGGGACGACGGCCUUCGGGUUGUAAACCUCUUUUAGCAGGGAAGAAGCGAAAGUGACGGUACCUGCAGAAAAAGCGCCGGCUAACUACGUGCCAGCAGCCGCGGUAAUACGUAGGGCGCAAGCGUUAUCGGAUUAUUGGGCGUAAGAGCUCGUAGGCGGUUUGUCGCGUCUGCUGUGAAAUCCGGAGGCUCAACCUCCGGCCUGCAGUGGGUACGGGCAGACUAGAGUGCGGUAGGGGAGAUUGGAAUUCCUGGUGUAGCGGUGGAAUGCGCAGAUAUCAGGAGGAACACCGAUGGCGAAGGCAGAUCUCUGGGCCGUAACUGACGCUGAGGAGCGAAAGGGUGGGGAGCAAACAGGCUUAGAUACCCUGGUAAUUCCCACCCCGUAAACGUUGGGAACUAGGUUGUGGGUUCCAUUCCACGGAUUCCGUGACGCAGCUAACGCAUUAAGUUCCCCCCCUGGGGGAGUACGGCCGCAAGGUUAAAACUCAAAGGAAUUGACGGGGGACCCGCACAAGCGGCGGAGCAUGCGGAUUAAUUUCGAUGCAACGCGAAGAACCUUACCAAGGCUUGACAUAUACGAGAACGGGCCAGAAAUGGUCAACUCUUUGGACACUCGUAAACAGGUGGUGCAUGGUUGUCGUCAGCUCGUGUCGUGAGAUGUUGGGUUAAGUCCCGCAACGAGCGCAACCCUCGUUCUAUGUUGCCANCACGUAAUGGUGGGAACUCAUGGGAUACUGCCGGGGUNAACUCGGAGGAAGGUGGGGAUGACGUCAAAUCAUCAUGCCCCUUAUGUCNUGGGCUUCACGCAUGCUACAAUGGCCGGUACAAAGGGCUGCAAUACCGCGAGGUGGAGCGAAUCCCAAAAAGCCGGUCCCAGUUCGGAUUGAGGUCUGCAACUCGACCUCAUGAAGUCGGAGUCCGNUAUGUNUAUCGCAGAUCAGCA
This 994-nucleotide ribosomal RNA is filed under the name Microbacterium oxydans. Its description in RNAcentral is "bacterial SSU rRNA". It matches the Rfam family "Bacterial small subunit ribosomal RNA", at positions 355 to 1354 of the family's 1533-position model. The record is from RNAcentral. Lineage: Bacteria; Bacillati; Actinomycetota; Actinomycetes; Micrococcales; Microbacteriaceae.